Molecule: ribosomal RNA, 468 nt
Filed under: uncultured bacterium
Lineage: Bacteria
Description: partial 16S ribosomal RNA
Rfam family: Bacterial small subunit ribosomal RNA
Source: RNAcentral
GACGAACGCUGGCGGCGUGCUUAACACAUGCAAGUCGAACGGAAAGGCCCUGCUUUUGUGGGGUGCUCGAGUGGCGAACGGGUGAGUAACACGUGAGUAACCUGCCCUUGACUUUGGGAUAACUUCAGGAAACGGGGGCUAAUACCGGAUAGGAUCUCCUGCUGCAGGGUGGGGGUGGGAAAGUUUCGGCGGUUGGGGAUGGACUCGCGGCUUAUCAGCUUGUUGGUGGGGUAGUGGCUUACCAAGGCUUUGACGGGUAGCCGGCCUGAGAGGGUGACCGGCCACAUGGGGCCUGAGAUACGGCCCAGACUCCUACGGGAGGCAGCAGUGGGGAAUAUUGCCCAAUGGGCGGAAGCCUGAUGCAGCAACGCCGCGUGCGGGAUGACGGCCUUCGGGUUGUAAACCGCUUUCGCCUGUGACGAAGCGUGAGUGACGGUAAUGGGUAAAGAAGCACCGGCUAACUACGUG